AUUGAACGCUGGCGGCAGGCCUAACACAUGCAAGUCGAGCGGAUGAAGGGAGCUCGCUCCUGGAUUCAGCGGCGGACGGGUGAGUAAUGCCUAGGAAUCUGCCUGGUAGUGGGGGAUAACGUCCGGAAACGGGCGCUAAUACCGCAUACGUCCUGAGGGAGAAAGUGGGGGAUCUUCGGACCUCACGCUAUCAGAUGAGCCUAGGUCGGAUUAGCUAGUUGGUGGGGUAAAGGCCUACCAAGGCGACGAUCCGUAACUGGUCUGAGAGGAUGAUCAGUCACACUGGAACUGAGACACGGUCCAGACUCCUACGGGAGGCAGCAGUGGGGAAUAUUGGACAAUGGGCGAAAGCCUGAUCCAGCCAUGCCGCGUGUGUGAAGAAGGUCUUCGGAUUGUAAAGCACUUUAAGUUGGGAGGAAGGGCAGUAAGUUAAUACCUUGCUGCUUUGACGUUACCAACAGAAUAAGCACCGGCUAACUUCGUG
RNAcentral lists this ribosomal RNA (484 nucleotides) under uncultured bacterium. RNAcentral describes it as "partial 16S ribosomal RNA". It matches the Rfam family "Bacterial small subunit ribosomal RNA", at positions 30 to 507 of the family's 1533-position model. The record is from RNAcentral.